AAAAAGAGGAUGCAGAGGACCCUCUUGCUGCCAUGGGAAGAAGGAAGAAGGGGGCUUGGCAUGAGGAAGAAUUCCUUCUUCCUUGCUGCCGUGUGGAGUGCUCUUCCCUUGCUUCUUCUUCUUUUCUUUCCAAUGCCUUGGAGGAAGAAAAAGGGCCUUCAACUUGUUGUCGUGAGAAAGGAGAAAGGUCUCCUCUUGCUACCGUGGAGAAGGAGGAGAGGAAGAGGGUGGAGGCAUGG
This 239-nucleotide long non-coding RNA is filed under the name Phoenix dactylifera (date palm). Its description in RNAcentral is "long non-coding RNA (PDAC_LNC006295)". Lineage: Eukaryota; Viridiplantae; Streptophyta; Magnoliopsida; Arecales; Arecaceae. The record is from RNAcentral.